UGAAAACCUCGUUUUUCCUAUUUGACGAUUUCUUUGUAAGUUUUUCCCCAGAUGGCUUCAUGGUUGAAUCGUCACAAAUUAACCAGCCAGGCUUAGCAUCUCCGAAGACAUCUAACUGCCAAAAUGUAGAUGUCCAAGACAAGCUUAAGAUGUUGGAGCUGCACUGUCCAGCACAAGUGGGACUUACAUCUCCUAAGACUAAGAGAUCUACUCGUCAACAAGUGUAGAUGUCCAAG
Molecule: long non-coding RNA, 236 nt
Organism: Asterias rubens (European starfish)
Lineage: Eukaryota; Metazoa; Echinodermata; Asteroidea; Forcipulatida; Asteriidae
Exons: 3
Source: RefSeq, a predicted model, not a curated record